RNAcentral lists this ribosomal RNA (330 nucleotides) under uncultured bacterium. RNAcentral describes it as "bacterial SSU rRNA". It matches the Rfam family "Bacterial small subunit ribosomal RNA", at positions 568 to 898 of the family's 1533-position model. The record is from RNAcentral.
CGCGUAGGCGGUGCAAUAAGUCAGGCGUGAAAGCCCCGGGCUCAACCCGGGAAUAGCGCUUGAUACUGUUGCGCUUGAAUCCAGGAGAGGAUGGCGGAAUUCCCAGUGUAGAGGUGAAAUUCGUAGAUAUUGGGAAGAACACCAGUGGCGAAGGCGGCCAUCUGGCCUGGAAUUGACGCUGAGGCGCGAAAGCGUGGGGAGCAAACAGGAUUAGAUACCCUGGUAGUCCACGCCGUAAACGAUGAGUGCUAGACGUCGGGAAGCUUGCUUUUCGGUGUCGACGCUAACGCAUUAAGCACUCCGCCUGGGGAGUACGGCCGCAAGGUUAAA